Molecule: transfer RNA, 72 nt
Filed under: Bos taurus (domestic cattle)
Lineage: Eukaryota; Metazoa; Chordata; Mammalia; Artiodactyla; Bovidae
Rfam family: tRNA
About the family: Transfer RNA (tRNA) molecules are approximately 80 nucleotides in length.
Source: Rfam by way of RNAcentral
UCUCUGGUGGCUCAGAGGGUAAAGCAUCUGUCUUCAAUGCAGGAGACCUGGGUUCGAUCCCUGGGCAGGGAA